UGUCAGGAGUUAAGAAAUGUAGGAAUGUUAAUAGCAUUUCUAUUUGACUAAGGCUCCAGAGGAAGCCACGGCUAACUCUGUGCCAGCAGCCGCGGUAAUACAGAGGUGGCAAGCGUUGUUCGGAAUUAUUGGGCGUAAAGAGCACGUAGGCGGCCCUGUCAGUCAGUUGUGAAAGCCUUCCGCUCAACGGAAGAACGGCAGCUGAUACUAUAGGGCUAGAGUACGGGAGGGGAGAGUGGAACUUCUGGU
RNAcentral lists this ribosomal RNA (249 nucleotides) under uncultured anaerobic ammonium-oxidizing bacterium. Its description in RNAcentral is "partial 16S ribosomal RNA". It matches the Rfam family "Bacterial small subunit ribosomal RNA", at positions 434 to 674 of the family's 1533-position model. The record is from RNAcentral.